Molecule: ribosomal RNA, 465 nt
Filed under: uncultured bacterium
Lineage: Bacteria
Description: partial 16S ribosomal RNA
Rfam family: Bacterial small subunit ribosomal RNA
Source: RNAcentral
GACGAACGCUGGCGGCGUGCUUAACACAUGCCAGUCGAACGGAAAGGCCCUGCUUGCAGGGUACUCGAGUGGCGAACGGGUGAGUAACACGUGGGUGAUCUGCCCUGCACUUCGGGAUAAGCCUGGGAAACUGGGUCUAAUACCGGAUAGGAGCCAUUUUUAGUGUGAUGGUUGGAAAGUUUUUUCGGUGUAGGAUGAGCUCGCGGCCUAUCAGCUUGUUGGUGGGGUAAUGGCCUACCAAGGCGGCGACGGGUACCCGGCCUGAGAGGGUGGACGGCCACAUUGGGACUGAGAGACGGCCCAGACUCCUACGGGAGGCAGCAGUGGGGAAGAUUGCACAAGGGGCGCAAGCCUGAUGCAGCGACGCCGCGUGGGGGAUGACGGCCUUCGGGUUGUAAACUCAUUUCGCUAGGGACGAAGCUUUUUGUGACGGUACCUAGAGAAGAAGCACCGGCUAACUACGUG